UGGGGAAUAUUGGACAAUGGGCGAAAGCCUGAUCCAGCCAUGCCGCGUGUGUGAAGAAGGUCUUCGGAUUGUAAAGCACUUUAAGUUGGGAGGAAGGGCAGUUACCUAAUACGUAUCUGUUUUGACGUUACCGACAGAAUAAGCACCGGCUAACUCUGUGCCAGCAGCCGCGGUAAUACAGAGGGUGCAAGCGUUAAUCGGAAUUACUGGGCGUAAAGCGCGUGUAGGUGGAUGAAUAAGUUGGAUGUGAAAGCCCCGGGCUCAACCUGGGAAUGCCAUUCAAAACUGUUCAUCUAGAGUAUGGUAGAGGGAAGUGGAAUUUCAGGUGUAGCUGUGAAAUGCGUAGAUAUCUGAAGGAACACCAGUGGCGAAGGCGGCUUCCUGGACCAAUACUGACACUGAGACGCGAAAGCGUGGGGAGCAAACAGGAUUAGAUACCCCCGUAGUCCCUGAGCGGGCUGGCAAGGCGCAU
Molecule: ribosomal RNA, 472 nt
Filed under: uncultured bacterium
Lineage: Bacteria
Description: bacterial SSU rRNA
Rfam family: Bacterial small subunit ribosomal RNA
Source: RNAcentral